Molecule: ribosomal RNA, 253 nt
Filed under: uncultured bacterium
Lineage: Bacteria
Description: partial 16S ribosomal RNA
Rfam family: Bacterial small subunit ribosomal RNA
Source: RNAcentral
UACGAAGGGGGCUAGCGUUGUUCGGAAUUACUGGGCGUAAAGGGUGCGUAGGCGGGUCUUUAAGUCAGGGGUGAAAUCCUGGAGCUCAACUCCAGAACUGCCUUUGAUACUGAGGAUCUUGAGUUCGGGAGAGGUGAGUGGAACUGCGAGUGUAGAGGUGAAAUUCGUAGAUAUUCGCAAGAACACCAGUGGCGAAGGCGGCUCACUGGCCCGAUACUGACGCUGAGGCGCGGAAGCGUGGGGAGCAAACAGG